This 419-nucleotide ribosomal RNA is filed under the name bacterium. RNAcentral describes it as "partial 16S ribosomal RNA". It matches the Rfam family "Bacterial small subunit ribosomal RNA", at positions 355 to 776 of the family's 1533-position model. The record is from RNAcentral.
UGGGGGAUAUUGCACAAUGGGCGAAAGCCUGAUGCAGCGACGCCGCGUGGGGGAUGAAGGCCUUCGGGUUGUAAACUUCUUUUGCUCUGAACAAGGCAUGCUAAUGGGUGUGUUGAGUGUAGGGGUUGAUUAGCGCCGGCUAACUACGUGCCAGCAGCCGCGGUAAUACGUAGGGCGCGAGCGUUGUCCGGAAUUAUUGGGCGUAAAGGGCUUGUAGGUGGCUGGUUGCGUCUGUCGUGAAAGCUCAGGGCUUAACUGUGGGUUUGCGGUGGGUACGGGCUGGCUAGAGUGCAGUAGGGGAGGCUGGAAUUCCUGGUGUAGCGGUGGAAUGCGCAGAUAUCAGGAGGAAUACCGGUGGCGAAGGCGGGUCUCUGGGCUGUUACUGACACUGAGGAGCGAAAGCAUGGGGAGCGAACAGG